Molecule: unclassified non-coding RNA, 344 nt
Filed under: soil metagenome
Description: partial contains 5.8S ribosomal RNA, internal transcribed spacer 2, and large subunit ribosomal RNA
Rfam family: 5.8S ribosomal RNA (bases 1-119)
Source: RNAcentral
GAUGAAGAACGUAGCGAAAUGCGAUACGUAAUGUGAAUUGCAAAUUCAGUGAGUCAUCGAGUCUUUGAACGCACAUUGCGCCCCCUGGUAUUCCGGGGGGCAUGCCUGUCCGAGCGUCAUUACUGCCCUCAAGCCCGGCUUGUGUGUUGGGCCCCGUCCUCCGAUCCCGGGGGACGGGCCCGAAAGGCAGCGGCGGCACCGCGUCCGGUCCUCGAGCGUAUGGGGCUUUGUCACCCGCUCUGUAGGCCCGGCCGGCGCUUGCCGAUCAACCCCAAUUUUUUAUAGGUUGACCUCGGAUCAGGUAGGGAUACCCGCUGAACUUAAGCAUAUCAAUAAGCGGAGGA